UAUGCGUAUACUGCACUCGAGCGAUGGAUUAAGAGCUUGCUCUUAUGAAGUUAGCGGCGGACGGGUGAGUAACACGUGGGUAACCUGCCCAUAAGACUGGGAUAACUCCGGGAAACCGGGGCUAAUACCGGAUAACAUUUUGAACCGCAUGGUUCGAAAUUGAAAGGCGGCUUCGGCUGUCACUUAUGGAUGGACCCGCGUCGCAUUAGCUAGUUGGUGAGGUAACGGCUCACCAAGGCAACGAUGCGUAGCCGACCUGAGAGGGUGAUCGGCCACACUGGGACUGAGACACGGCCCAGACUCCUACGGGAGGCAGCAGUAGGGAAUCUUCCGCAAUGGACGAAAGUCUGACGGAGCAACGCCGCGUGAGUGAUGAAGGCUUUCGGGUCGUAAAACUCUGUUGUUAGGGGAAGAACAAGUGCUAGUUGAAUAAGCUGGCACCGUGACGGAACCUAACCAGAAAGCCACGGCUUAACUACGUGCCAGCAGCCCGCGGUAAUACGUAAGUGGCAGGCGUUAUCCGGAAUUAUUGGGGCGUAAAAGCGCGCGCAGGUGGUUUCCUUAAGUCUGAUGUGAAAGGCCCCGGGCUCAACCGUGGAAGGGGCCUUGGGAAACUGGGAAAACUUGGUUGCAAAAAAAGGAAAGGGG
Molecule: ribosomal RNA, 648 nt
Filed under: Bacillus cereus
Lineage: Bacteria; Bacillati; Bacillota; Bacilli; Caryophanales; Bacillaceae
Description: bacterial SSU rRNA
Rfam family: Bacterial small subunit ribosomal RNA
Source: RNAcentral